This 274-nucleotide ribosomal RNA is filed under the name uncultured bacterium. Its description in RNAcentral is "partial 16S ribosomal RNA". It matches the Rfam family "Bacterial small subunit ribosomal RNA", at positions 523 to 796 of the family's 1533-position model. The record is from RNAcentral.
AUACGGAGGGUGCGAGCGUUAAUCGGAAUUACUGGGCGUAAAGCGUACGUAGGCGGUUCGUUAAGUUAGAUGUGAAAGCCCCGGGCUUAACCUGGGAACUGCAUUUAAAACUGGCGGACUAGAGUUGAGUAGAGGGGAGUGGAAUUUCAGGUGUAGCGGUGAAAUGCGUAGAGAUCUGAAGGAACACCAGUGGCGAAGGCGACUCCCUGGACUCGAACUGACGCUGAGGUACGAAAGCGUGGGUAGCAAACGGGAUUAGAAACCCCAGUAGUCC